GACGAACGCUGGCGGCGUGCUUAACACAUGCAAGUCGAACGGAAAGGCCCUGCUUGCAGGGUACUCGAGUGGCGAACGGGUGAGUAACACGUGGGUGAUCUGCCCUGCACUUCGGGAUAAGCCUGGGAAACUGGGUCUAAUACCGGAUAGGAGCCAUUUUUAGUGUGAUGGUUGGAAAGUUUUUUCGGUGUAGGAUGAGCUCGCGGCCUAUCAGCUUGUUGGUGGGGUAAUGGCCUACCAAGGCGGCGACGGGUAGCCGGCCUGAGAGGGUGGACGGCCACAUUGGGACUGAGAUACGGCCCAGACUCCUACGGGAGGCAGCAGUGGGGAAUAUUGCACAAUGGGCGCAAGCCUGAUGCAGCGACGCCGCGGGGGGGAUGACGGCCUUCGGGUUGUAAAAUCCUUUCGCUAGGGACGAAGCUUUUUGUGACGGUACCUAGAUAAGAAGCACCGGCUAACUACGUG
RNAcentral lists this ribosomal RNA (465 nucleotides) under uncultured bacterium. RNAcentral describes it as "partial 16S ribosomal RNA". It matches the Rfam family "Bacterial small subunit ribosomal RNA", at positions 28 to 507 of the family's 1533-position model. The record is from RNAcentral.